This 253-nucleotide ribosomal RNA is filed under the name uncultured bacterium. RNAcentral describes it as "partial 16S ribosomal RNA". It matches the Rfam family "Bacterial small subunit ribosomal RNA", at positions 524 to 776 of the family's 1533-position model. The record is from RNAcentral.
UACGUAGGGGGCAAGCGUUGUCCGGAUUUACUGGGCGUAAAGAGCGCGCAGGCGGUCGUUCAAGUCGAGUGUGAAAGCCCCCGGCUCAACCGGGGAGGGUCAUUCGAUACUGAUCGACUCGAAGGCAGGAGAGGGAAGUGGAAUUCCCGGUGUAGUGGUGAAAUGCGUAGAUAUCGGGAGGAACACCAGUGGCGAAGGCGACUUCCUGGCCUGUUCUUGACGCUGAGGCGCGAAAGCUAGGGGAGCAAACGGG